AACGAACGCUGGCGGCAUGCCUAAUACAUGCAAGUCGAACGAACUCUUCGGAGUUAGUGGCGCACGGGUGCGUAACGCGUGGGAAUCUGCCCCUUGGUUCGGAAUAACAGUUGGAAACGACUGCUAAUACCGGAUGAUGACGAAAGUCCAAAGAUUUAUCGCCAAGGGAUGAGCCCGCGUAGGAUUAGCUAGUUGGUGAGGUAAAGCUCACCAAGGCAACGAU
RNAcentral lists this ribosomal RNA (223 nucleotides) under uncultured soil bacterium. RNAcentral's name for it is "partial 16S ribosomal RNA". It matches the Rfam family "Bacterial small subunit ribosomal RNA", at positions 29 to 280 of the family's 1533-position model. The record is from RNAcentral.